Long non-coding RNA from Triticum dicoccoides, 1962 nucleotides. RefSeq lists it as uncharacterized. The transcript is spliced from 4 exons. The record is from RefSeq and is a predicted model, not a curated record. NCBI's taxonomy places the organism in Eukaryota, Viridiplantae, Streptophyta, Magnoliopsida, Poales, Poaceae.
CGCCGCACCCAGUCUGGCUCAUCGGCAGAGCAGAUUCGUUCGGUGAUGGCUGUGUGCCUGUUGCCUCCUCUGUCUCAGCGUCGACGAGGAUCCCCUGAGACGGCCACCGGCAGCCUCCUCACAAGGUAAAGGAAAAGAAGAAGCUGCAUUCUUUGUACCUUCUCGCCAAUCGCAUCUUGAAUUAGUAUUGUGUCAGCAGAUGUACCAAACACUACCUGUCCACCUUUCAUUUCUGUAUCAAAGAAUGCCAUGUCUUGUCUCAAAACCGACUUGAGAUACAAAGAUCGAAAGCGAGCUGCCUGCCUCUCCCCAGUCACGGUCCAGCAUGAUAUCUCUGUGGCGUUGCAUGCUUGCAGAUUCAUACAGAAGCAAAAGGGUACCUUGUCGACUCGGGGAAGGAUGGUGUCCCGGGUGGCACCUCCAAAGGCAUCUACCAUCCGCCCGAAGAUGAUCGACAUGACGACCUGUGACAUGCCGCUCGCAAGCGCGGCGACCGUGCCAACCAGCAUCAGCACCACAUCAGCGGCGUCCGCGUUCUUGAACAGGUCAUGGAACGACGCCUUACCACCCUUGGUCAUCUUCUUCCUGCCUUUCUCUUCCUCUUCUCCACCCUUGACUCCACCAUCAGCUCUUGCAUUAUUUGUUUCUCCCAUGCUAUGCCUACCAGGUAAUUGACUAGCGCCGUGUGUCUAUUGCUCUAGCUGCUGAGUGAACUUCUGCUUUUAUAGUGUCAUUGUCUUGUUAGUUCACAGGUAAGUCCAUUCACAAGAGCAACCAUAAAGUUAGAUGUGGUUGACAGUUGGGUAAAAAACGGAAAAUGACACAGAUAAAUGUGUCAACAAGGUGCGAUGCCAACCUAAAGACGAGUAGGAUAACAAAACUGGCCACAAGAGCUGCAUAUCCUAUUCGCUCACCCUUCGGAGUGCACUCCUUCACAGAUGACCUUUUCCCAUUUGAGUCAGUAACUCACCAUGAUUUUUUGCUUUUGCUGGAUUUUUAACAUUAGAUUUCAACUUCAAACACAAAAGCUGUUUGAAGGAACCUGUCUCUCUUUUUCUUUGUUCACUAUCCUCUUCUUCUAUUGCUUCUCAAGUUUUUCUCUGUUUUUUACUCUCAAGUACAUGCAGCUGUCUAAAUAAUACAUAGACUGAGUAAACAUUUGAGAAUUAUGAAGUAACAAAAUCCCCAGAGCUUUCAUUGCACUCGCCAUGGUGGUGAAAUAAUUUAUGUACCGAUCGGUUUCAGUGCCAGAACCACUAGUAGAAAGUGCUUGAAUGAUGUUAGGAGUGCACCCUUAAUUAAAGGCUGUCUUUGUCCUGCAGACCCAAACUGAUUCAACAUUGUGAAACCAGAUCUUCUUCGCUGGGAAAGCGACGGCCGAUGAAAACCCCUCUUCCUUGACAGCGGCUGGCCUAGGGGUAAACUCUGCCGAUAAUUUUAAUGCGAGGAGCUGUUUUUUUUGCAGGUGUCCACAUCAGAGGAUGACUAGGACACUUGGUGCAUCAGCUCGGUCGUACGCAUCGGCUUGGCUGCGUCAGCUCAGAUGAGCUUAGUAGGCCUGGUCUUGCCUGGCAGUGGCAGGAGGUAUCGCAGGGUGUUCAGCGCCCAGAUUUGUAGCUAGUCGCUCGCGCCACGAUGGCAGCUGCUGGAGUGAGCCAAAUGGAAGAUCCCGGGGGACCUGAGCGUUUGGAUGCUUGGAGCAUCAGCUCUGUUCGGAUGUGCGUGAGAGCUUCUGCAAAUGGCAUGGCCUGGCCCCGCUCUCUUUUUGUUCUUAUCCUGCUUAUGCAGAUUAGGGCAUAGCGUGUAGGACCUAAGUAGGGGUACUGUGUAUUUCUAUAUUUUUUUAUUAGAGGAGUGUAUUUGUAUUUGUUUCUGGCCGAAGAUAUAUACUACUGCUUCAUUGAUUAUGUUUGUAUUGCAAAGAAAAUCUCACAUCCAAAUUACGCUAGCGUCAGUUUUUUU